This is a small nuclear RNA of Artibeus jamaicensis (Jamaican fruit-eating bat), 164 nucleotides long. RefSeq annotates it as U1 spliceosomal RNA. Lineage: Eukaryota; Metazoa; Chordata; Mammalia; Chiroptera; Phyllostomidae. The transcript has a single exon. The record is from RefSeq and is a predicted model, not a curated record.
AUGCUUACCUGGCAGGGGAGAUACCACGAUCACAAAGGUGGAUUUCCCAGGUCGAGGCUCACCCAUUGUACUUGGGAUGUACUGACCCCUGUGACUUCACCAAAUGUGGGAAGCUUGAUUGCAUGAUUUGUGGUCGUGGGGGACUGAAGUGGCGCUCUCCCCUG